UACGUAGGGUGCAAGCGUUGUCCGGAAUUAUUGGGCGUAAAGGGCUCGUAGGCGGUCCGUCACGUCGGCUGUGAAAACCCGGGGCUCAACCCCGGGCCUGCAGUCGAUACGGGCGGACUAGAGUUCGGCAGGGGAGACUGGAAUUCCUGGUGUAGCGGUGAAAUGCGCAGAUAUCAGGAGGAACACCGGUGGCGAAGGCGGGUCUCUGGGCCGAUACUGACGCUGAGGAGCGAAAGCGUGGGGAGCGAACAGG
RNAcentral lists this ribosomal RNA (253 nucleotides) under uncultured bacterium. RNAcentral's name for it is "partial 16S ribosomal RNA". It matches the Rfam family "Bacterial small subunit ribosomal RNA", at positions 524 to 776 of the family's 1533-position model. The record is from RNAcentral.